This 133-nucleotide ribosomal RNA is filed under the name uncultured bacterium. RNAcentral's name for it is "partial 16S ribosomal RNA". It matches the Rfam family "Bacterial small subunit ribosomal RNA", at positions 355 to 485 of the family's 1533-position model. The record is from RNAcentral.
UGAGGAAUAUUGGUCAAUGGGUGCAAGCCUGAACCAGCCAUCCCGCGUGAAGGACGACUGCCCUAUGGGUUGUAAACUUCUUUUGUAUAGGGAUAAACCUACCCUCGUGAGGGUAGCUGAAGGUACUAUACGA